AGUCCCUGUGAGCUAUGAGUGAACCUGUACAUUGAUGAUUCCACCUGGGGGAGUGUUCAUUCUCUGAGAACACCCCCCUCUAGGUUGUACACCUCCUUUAAACAUUAGCCAGUGGAUAAGCCUAAUUACGGUUCUUUCCGCGAGUGGAACGCAGAGACUUCCGGCCAGCGCCUCUUCCGCGGAAUGGAACGCAUGGUGUUCCGGUCGGUGGAACGCAAAAGACGCGUCUCCGGCAGUUGCCCUUCCAAAUCGUUAAAAUACACUCAUUUAAGUAGCCGUGCGUUAGCGAUAGCCACUGCCUGUCCUGUGAACCCUGUAACUUUUUUCCCAGUUGGUCUGAGUUAGUUAUCUGAGAGGUGAUCAGUUAAUGAGAGACUGGGUUUAUACUAAUCUCCUUAAUUGGCACUUCCUGUGGUUGAUCCUUAAAUAGUGCUCAGCUGAGGCUGAACUUUAUGCAGCUUCCAUUUGGCUCUGGACACUUGAGCAGUGAGUAUGGUUCUCCUGCAGCUCCCUUCUGACACAUGAUUACGGUUGGUGAUUAUUUUUUCCUGUUGUGCCUCCUUACAGACUGAGUGUCUGACACAUGUACAGAGCCCACAAGCUGCCAUGAGCUAUUUCUACAUGUAACUAGGUGACUACGCCUUGCAGCUUCCCCUACGUUAUAGGCUUUUUAACUUCAUUAUGUGAUCAGGCAUGUUGCCAACUUUGAAGGCCAUUCCACACAUCUGAGUGAUCUGGCUUGCCGUCCAGGUGAUUUAAGUGCCAAUCUUGAUAAAGGUCCGCAUAAGGACCGAAACGUCGAUGAAAUACGGCAUCAACAGUGAACCCGAAUAAAAAUAUACUGAAUUUACAAGUGACUUCAGAGACUAAUUUCUGGGCGUGAGUGCACCUUCCACCUAGGUGGUUGUUGUGGUAUAUUGGUGGCCUCUCUGGUCAUUAGGAGCACCCGCCGUCGUUAUUACUUUUGAUGAGAGUGCAGGAUCUUCC
Molecule: long non-coding RNA, 987 nt
Organism: Pseudophryne corroboree (corroboree frog)
Lineage: Eukaryota; Metazoa; Chordata; Amphibia; Anura; Myobatrachidae
Exons: 3
Source: RefSeq, a predicted model, not a curated record